Saccostrea cuccullata (small rock oyster) is the source of this 467-nucleotide long non-coding RNA. RefSeq lists it as uncharacterized. NCBI's taxonomy places the organism in Eukaryota, Metazoa, Mollusca, Bivalvia, Ostreida, Ostreidae. The transcript is spliced from 3 exons. The record is from RefSeq and is a predicted model, not a curated record.
GCGCUCUAAUGUUUGUGAUCGUGAAGUAGAAAACGAGAAACCUAAAAAUUUCCGGAUUCAAGCACCUGUCAAGUAUUUCCCCGGCUAACUGGUACGGAAAAACAAUUUAUUAAAGAUCAUGUACACUUGGUAUUGCGCAACUUGACAAUACAGGAAUUAAAGACCGGUUGACAUGGAGGCGCUCGAAGAACUGCCAUACACUUUACUGGUUGGAUCCAUCGUGAUGGUGUUGAUGAUGUCAUUUAUUGUUACACGGGUCCUGACUGGCACAUGCAAGAAUACCAGUGAUUUUCGUCCAAAGCCAAAAUCAACCUAAUACAGCACAAAUACAAUCUAAUACAUCAAUUUCAUGAAUAUAUUUUUUAAAACAUAAAAAAAGAAGUAUUUUUAUUGUAUAUUUUUAUUUUUAAAAUUUUCAUUGCUGUUUGAAUUAGUUCAAUUUUUUUAAAAAUAAAUACUUAAACUUU